Long non-coding RNA from Humulus lupulus (European hop), 414 nucleotides. RefSeq lists it as uncharacterized. The record is from RefSeq and is a predicted model, not a curated record. The transcript is spliced from 2 exons. NCBI's taxonomy places the organism in Eukaryota, Viridiplantae, Streptophyta, Magnoliopsida, Rosales, Cannabaceae.
CUCUCUCUCUCCUUUCCCCGCCCACUCUCUCUCAUCGGUGAUCUUUUUCUCACUUCACGACAAUAUCUCCUCCAAUUCUCUGCCUUUUCUCUCGCGACUCUGGCUCCGAUGAAGCUCUUCUCUCCUAUGCCGCAUAAGAUUUUCUCUCUCUUUGGAUUUGUGAGCCGUAUGAGAUAGAAGGAAUCAAAUGGAAGGUCAUGAUACACUUUUAAAGCUCGACAAUAGGAUUUCAAAGCAAAUGGAAAUAACAAAUCAUCAUAAUAUCUUUAGAUCUCGUUGUUCACUUUUUAAGUCAAACAUUAAAGUUUUUUCAAAUUUUAGCUAAACAUUUUAGCUAGAAGUUUACCAUGAUGACUUUGAUUCUCUAAAUUUACUUUUUGAAAGUUGUUCACUUAUUAAGUGAAACAUGUAUUU